GCCUGAUAAAAAGGGUUAUUUUGAUAGGACAAAUCACGUAUAAUUUACCUUCAUUA
RNAcentral lists this transfer RNA (56 nucleotides) under Myrmedobia distinguenda. Its description in RNAcentral is "partial tRNA-Ile". Lineage: Eukaryota; Metazoa; Arthropoda; Insecta; Hemiptera; Microphysidae. The record is from RNAcentral.